Molecule: ribosomal RNA, 292 nt
Filed under: uncultured bacterium
Lineage: Bacteria
Description: partial 16S ribosomal RNA
Rfam family: Bacterial small subunit ribosomal RNA
Source: RNAcentral
GUGUCAGCAGCCGCGGUAAUACGUAGGCAGCGAGCGUUGUUCGGAGUUACUGGGCGUAAAGAGUAUGUAGGCGGUUUCGCAAGUUUGGUGUGAAAUCUCCCGGCUUAACCGGGAGGGUGCGCCGAAAACUGCGGAGCUAGAGUGCGGGAGAGGAGAGCGGAAUUCCUGGUGUAGCGGUGAAAUGCGUAGAUAUCAGGAGGAACACCGGCGGUGUAGACGGCUCUCUGGACCGUGACUGACGCUGAGAUACGAAAGCGUGGGGAGCAAACAGGAUUAGAUACCCUAGUAGUCC